CGAGCACGCGCGUGUGGCAUAUCAAUAAGCGGAGGAAAAGAAACUAACUAGGAUUCCCUCAGUAACGGCGAGUGAAGCGGGAAGAGCUCAAAUUUGAAAUCUUCAAGGUUUUACCUUGACGAAUUGUAGUUUAUAGAAGUGUUUUCUGUUAGAGAGGUUUGGUAAAAGUUCUUUGGAAUAGGACAUCAUAGAGGGUGAGAAUCCCGUAUUUGAUCCAUUACUUCCAGCGUUGUGAUACACUUUCAAAGAGUCGGAUUGUUUGGGAAUGCAGUCCAAAAUGGGUGGUAAAUUUCAUCUAAAGCUAAAUAUUGGCGAGAGACCGAUAGCGAACAAGUACCGUGAGGGAAAGAUGAAAAGAACUUUGAAAAGAGAGUUAAACAGUACGUGAAAUUGUCAAAAGGGAAGCGUUUGACACCAGUGUUGUUUUCUCGAAAAUCAAUUAAAAAGAGUUGGAUUUUGUAUUGUUAAGACCUUAUCAGCUUACUGUACUUUUUUCUUGCUCUUUUUAAUGCACUUUUCGUUUAACAAGUCAACAUCAAUUUCUUUUGUUGUAAAAGGGUCAUUGGAAGGUGGCUUUCACUUCGGUGAAAGUGUUUAUAGCCUUUGGCUUCUACAAUCGGAGAGAUUGAGGUCUGCAGCGUAGAUCCUUCGGGGUUAGAUACGUAGAUGCUAAGUUAUAGUUUUUUAUAGACAACUUGUUGACUAUGAUUAAUCAUGUAGCUUACUCGUUUACGCUAUUUUACCUACGCUUAGGAUGUUGAACUCUAUCACACACAG
Molecule: ribosomal RNA, 777 nt
Filed under: uncultured Neocallimastigales
Lineage: Eukaryota; Fungi; Neocallimastigomycota; Neocallimastigomycetes; Neocallimastigales
Description: partial large subunit ribosomal RNA
Rfam family: Eukaryotic large subunit ribosomal RNA
Source: RNAcentral